AACGAGGCCGACCUGCGGCUGAGUUACCUGCGGAGGGAUCAUUACCGAGUUUACAACUCCCAAACCCCUGUGAACAUACCUAUACGUUGCCUCGGCGGAUCAGCCCGCGCCCUGUAAAAAGGGACGGCCCGCCCGAGGACCCUAAACUCUGUUUUUAGUGGAACUUCUGAGUAAAACAAACAAAUAAAUCAAAACUUUUAGCAAUGGAUCU
RNAcentral lists this unclassified non-coding RNA (211 nucleotides) under soil metagenome. RNAcentral's name for it is "partial contains 5.8S ribosomal RNA, internal transcribed spacer 2, and large subunit ribosomal RNA". The record is from RNAcentral.